GUAGAAUUCCAGGUGUAGCGGUGAAAUGCGUAGAGAUCUGGAGGAAUACCGGUGGCGAAGGCGGCCCCCUGGACGAAGACUGACGCUCAGGUGCGAAAGCGUGGGGAGCAAACAGGAUUAGAUACCCUGGUAGUCCACGCCGUAAACGAUGUCGACUUGGAGGUUGUGCCCUUGAGGCGUGGCUUCCGGAGCUAACGCGUUAAGUCGACCGCCUGGGGAGUACGGCCGCAAGGUUAAAACUCAAAUGAAUUGACGGGGGCCCGCACAAGCGGUGGAGCAUGUGGUUUAAUUCGAUGCAACGCGAAGAACCUUACCUGGUCUUGACAUCCACGGAAGUUUUCAGAGAUGAGAAUGUGCCUUCGGGAACCGUGAGACAGGUGCUGCAUGGCUGUCGUCAGCUCGUGUUGUGAAAUGUUGGGUUAAGUCCCGCAACGAGCGCAACCCUUAUCCUUUGUUGCCAGCGGUCCGGCCGGGAACUCAAAGGAGACUGCCAGUGAUAAACUGGAGGAAGGUGGGGAUGACGUCAAGUCAUCAUGGCCCUUACGACCAGGGCUACACACGUGCUACAAUGGCGCAUACAAAGAGAAGCGACCUCGCGAGAGCAAGCGGACCUCAUAAAGUGCGUCGUAGUCCGGAUUGGAGUCUGCAACUCGACUCCAUGAAGUCGGAAUCGCUAGUAAUCGUGGAUCAGAAUGCCACGGUGAAUACGUUCCCGGGCCUUGUACACACCGCCCGUCACACCAUGGGAGUGGGUUGCAAAAGAAGUAGGUAGCUUAACCUUCGGGAGGGCGCUUACCACUUUGUGAUUCAUGACUGGGGUGAAGUCGUAACAAGGUAACCGUAGGGGAACCUGCGGUUGGAUCACCUCCUUACCUUAAAGAAG
Molecule: ribosomal RNA, 883 nt
Filed under: Escherichia coli
Lineage: Bacteria; Pseudomonadati; Pseudomonadota; Gammaproteobacteria; Enterobacterales; Enterobacteriaceae
Description: bacterial SSU rRNA
Rfam family: Bacterial small subunit ribosomal RNA
Source: RNAcentral